RNAcentral lists this ribosomal RNA (449 nucleotides) under uncultured bacterium. Its description in RNAcentral is "bacterial SSU rRNA". It matches the Rfam family "Bacterial small subunit ribosomal RNA", at positions 328 to 793 of the family's 1533-position model. The record is from RNAcentral.
GGACCAGACUCCUACGGGAGGCAGCAGUGGGGGAUAUUGCACAAUGGGGGGAACCCUGAUGCAGCGACGCCGCGUGGGUGAAGGAGUAUUUCGGUAUGUAAAGCCCUAUCGGCAGGGAAGAAGAAAGACGGUACCUGACUAAGAAGCCCCGGCUAACUACGUGCCAGCAGCCGCGGUAAUACGUAGGGGGCGAGCGUUAUCCGGAUUUACUGGGUGUAAAGGGAGCGUAGACGGCUGCGCAAGUCAGAAGUGAAAGCCCGGGGCUCAACCGCGGGACUGCUUUUGAAACUGUGUAGCUAGAGUGCAGGAGAGGUAAGGGGAAUUCCUAGUGGAGCGGUGAAAUGCGUAGAUAUUAGGAGGAACACCGGUGGGGAAGGCGGCUUACUGGACUGUAACUGACGUUGAGGCUCGAAAGCGUGGGGAGCAAACAGGAUUAGAUACCCUGGUAA